UUUUUCCCAGACUCGGGAUCACCAACAUCAAUAUUAAGAGCCGCAUAAUUUUCCCCAACCAUUUUUAUGUUGUUUGUUGGAAACCUGGGGAAGGAAGAAUAUAAGAAUGUAAAACCUUAAAAGAGUUGAGAAAGAAAAGCAGCUCUUAAUUCCCAUAUGUGAAAUUUAACAAGAGAAAUGAAAUGAGAUCAUGGAUUUUAGCUUAAUACAAUUUGAUCUAACUUUUAUAUCACUGAAUAAGAUGUUAUCAAAGUCCAGCCAAACAGAAAACUGUUAUUCUUCCCAAACAUACUAAGCCACAAUAUUUUAGAUGCAAAAUAGCCUGGAAUUCAAAGUUCUUACUUAUCUUUCCUCUCUUACACGUAAUUAUAAGAUCAACGGAUUAAUAGGAUUAAGGGUUCGAGUGCAACCAUACUUCCUUGAUAUAAGGGAAAACUGCGAGAAAAUUAAAAUUCAAGAACAAUUAAUUCUCUAAUAUGAAGAAUACUAGUUUAAAGCCUUUGAGUAAAUUCAUGCUUCAAACAAUAGUUGACAGACCUCACACUCCUCCUUCGCCUAUCCAAUUAGAACUCAGAAUUGAGAUCUUUUAAUCAUUUCAAAGCCAUGUAUUAUGUUUCACAGAACCAUCAGGCCAUGCUGAAUUUUCUACUAUGUCCUUGACUAUGGUAGGAAUCUUUCCAAUUAUUGUCGACUGGCUAGGAGCAGGUUCAUCACUCUCAGUGCCAUGACCUAAAAACUUGCUCAAAAAUAAAUAAAUAGUUGUGUGAAAAAUUAUAUAGUUUAUCAAUUGAAGGAGCCACAAUAGUUGAAAUGAAAAAUGAACCCUGCAACCCAGUAAAUUAUCCAGUAGAGAAUGAUCACAAAAGGAAGCAUCAUCAACUUCUCUAUUUAUACUUAUCAAGUAUGUGUACGAGGCUUCGUUAAAAAUUUGCAGAAACUCAAAUCAAUAGACUUCUCAAACACUGAUUGAGGGACAUCAUAAUAUAAUUGCAUUCAAAUGUACACAAUUAAAAAAAUUCACUGUCAAUGAAAUUUGUAUUCAGAUGCUCUAAAAUCACAAACUCAACCUAAUGAAUGUUAAAAUAAGAAUCACUUCCUGCAAUUUAAUUUUCAAAACUAAAAGCAAUUAUAUUAUGUACAUUUGAAUGCAAUUAUACAACCCAACCACAUAGAAGAGCAUUCUGCCAUUCUUAGGGAUGGGAUAUUCAUCUCUCUAUGAAUUUAAUGGAAGUAGUAAGCCCAACAUUCGAUAUUCUGAACCUGUAAGACUUGCCUGGCCAACAUAAUAUGAUUCAAUGAAAUGACAAGAAUAAUAUAUAGGGUACUUGUAGAAUGUGGUAUUGAUAGCUACUAUAAUAACUGGUUGAGAUAUUUAUUUACCUUGAUCAAAUGUGAAUGUGAAUCCAUUUGAUCAUGUCCACCAUCUAAAAUUGCUUUUAAAUCCUACAAAAUUUUUUAAGAAGUUUCAAUUAGGAACUAGGAAUAGGGUCUUUUUUGGAUACACUUACUCGACACAGGACUUAAGUGUGAUUUAGUUUGAACCAGUCGCCAGCGAGUAUGGUGAAAUCUCUAGCAGGUGGAGGGAAAGGAACGGGAAUCAUAGGGCUUCUUGGGGUAGCCUUAAACAGAAC
Molecule: long non-coding RNA, 1631 nt
Filed under: Panax ginseng (ginseng)
Lineage: Eukaryota; Viridiplantae; Streptophyta; Magnoliopsida; Apiales; Araliaceae
Description: long non-coding RNA (PGIN_LNC000928)
Source: RNAcentral